This 170-nucleotide unclassified non-coding RNA is filed under the name uncultured fungus. Its description in RNAcentral is "partial contains 18S rRNA, ITS1, 5.8S rRNA, ITS2 and 28S rRNA". Lineage: Eukaryota; Fungi. The record is from RNAcentral.
AAGGAUCAUUAUUGUGAACCGGGGAGGCGCGAGCCGACCCACCAACCAAACCACCGUGAACACGAGUCCCGUCGGCCGUCGCCGUCGGGCAAACCUUUACACCUGUCGUCAACAAGUCAUGAAAGUUAUAACAAAGAGUACAACUCUCAACGAUGGAUCUCUUGGCUCUC